GGAGGAGACAGGAGGGUAGGGAAGACUGAGUCUCUGAGUUUGGUUUCAGCUCAGUGAGAGAAAAAUCACUGUGCUUUAAGUUUUUUCCCCCCCUAUUAUCAUGGAUUCAAUACAGUGUCUCUGAGGAGAUUCAGCUCUGCAGAAAGGUGAGUGAUUGCAAAGUAGCAUCUUUAUGUAGCAAGUUUGUCUACAACUUCUAUCCUAUCACUAAAAGAGACAAGCGAGCAUUGGGGUAAAGGCUACCUAGCUAUUAGUUAUCUAUUCCUGUCUGUGCAAUUAACCUGUGUGUAAGAAAGAAGUCCUUGUCAAAUCUGGCCAUUUUUUUAUAUUGGGCUGCCUUUUCAUAAUGCUUACUUUAUAUGCUUACUUUUAUAUGCAUGUACAUUUAACCCCUUAAGGACCAAACUUCUGUAAUUAAAGGGAAUCAUGACAUGUCACACAUAUCAUGUGACCUUAAGGGGUUAAACAGCAUACCAUGUGCAUUCAAUUAUUUCAUAAAUCACAAUAAUGCCUACUCUGCCCUGGUUUAUAUGUUAACUAGGGAUCAACAUCAUGGAGUGCUAAAUGUUUCCUUAGGCACACUCGGUACCAGAACCAAACGGAUCCACCCAGACUGUGAAUGUACCUUUGUUACAUGCGUUAACUUUGUUACAAUACAUUAAAAUAUUUUACUAUAGAAGCAGAAAAAUAUUGAUACACAUUCAGAAAUGAAUACUCUUAAGAAGCCGCCUGCCUUCUAAAGUAGCCCUCUGGUGUGCUCAUUUUGGCCAUCGUACUAAGGAAACAGCCUCUGUUAAAAGAAUUAGACUUGCAGCUGCCAACUCAAUGAAAUUUAGGAAACCUGAACAUUCCAGCAGUUUGCUGGAACACUGUAUAUACAACAGGGGUGGGGGGGGGGGGACAGACAAGUAUACCUUUAGCCCAUUGUGUACCUAUGGCAUUGUUGACACUGUGAAAAUCGGUACGUUUUAAACUCUGCAUUAUUCUUUAAUUAAUUUUUUUGUUCAGACUCGAUAGCAACUAAAAUUAACGUGCAUAAAAUUAAACAAAAUUAUCCUUCUUUAAACAAAGAAUAGUUUGGCAGAAACAACCUUAAAUAAAAACCCAAUAGUAUAAUUAUCAGAUGAUUGCUAACAGAUAGUUGCACAAAACAAAUGGAAUUAUUUAUGUUUGAAACUUAGUGGCCCGCAAAUGAGCACAUUGUAUAAUUUGAUGUGAUGCAGAUUUGUGUCUAGGUCACAUGCACAAAAUAAAAUGACCAUGGGUAACCAUGUGUAUCAGGAACGAAGCAUAAAAUUAAAAGUCUUAUGAAAUAGGAGAAUACUAACUGCAGGAUGUCCUUUGCACCAAUGUGUACUAAAUUUCCCAUCUGUAUUUUAAGCAACUAAGAUUUUUAUUUUUUUGUGGAAAUAUUUUAAUUUAGACAGAUUUUUGGCACAAAUCUUAACUGUGUGUACAUAUGUAGCUGCAGUUUGCUUGUAGACCUAAAAUGUAAAGAAAGGAUCUGUGAAACAAAAAAUAAUGAUCUCAUCUUUUUUAACAACCCCACAUACUCGUUAAAGAGGAAUUUUAGGAAAACGUUAUAGGCCGUUACACUUCAUAUAGCAGAGAAAAGCAGAGCUGAUAGUAAACUUGCACAAUAAUAGAUAUGUUUGUUAGUUAAAAGUAUCUACGACUACCAGUCUGGAUGUGACACUAUUAUGGUACUGCUGCUGAAAUGCUUUUAAAACGUGUAAAACUCUGGUUUAUCUAGGUUAUACACAGAGGGGUCAUAAGCCCUAGGCUAGGGUAUAUAUUUAGGUAAAGAUGUGCAGCUGGGGAGCUCAACAUGUGUAUACCUGCCUACCCCUAAUAUGACUGAAAGAAUCAAGACACCUAAUGACAUACAAGUCAGCCCGAUUGACCUCUAUGGACAGCUUACUCAGACUCCUGCUAUAGCAUAAAAAGUUUUGCUUUAUUUGUGUGCAGUAAAUGUACCUAAGAAUUUAAAGGACCACUAUAGUGCCAGGAAAACAUACUCGUUUUCCUGGCACUAUAGUGCCCUGAGGGUGCCCCCACCCUCCGGGACCCCCUCCCGCCCGGCUCUGGAAGGGGGAAAGGGGUUAAACCUUACCUUUUUCCAGUGCUGGGCAGAGAGCUCUCCUCCUCCGAUCCUCCUCUUCUCCUCCCCGUCGGCUGAAUGCGCAUGCGCGGCAAGAGCUGCGCGCGCAUUCAGCCGGUCACAUAGGAAAGCAUUCAUAAUUAAGCUGAAGUGGUCUGGGUGCCUAGAGUGGUCCUUUAAGUGCUUGAACGUGAAACAGAAUUGCUCUGAUUCAGGGCUGCUGUAGAUCAAACCCAAUAACCAGCUAGGACAGCGUUUAUUGAAAAUAGGAAACAUCAAAAUCGUCUUAUACAUGGUUUUUCACUAAAGUGUCAUAUGACUGCAAAUAAAAUUUCAAGUUACAGGUAAACUAUAGCCAGAACAGAAAGGACAAGUCAGCUAUGCUUUCAGUUACACUAUCUUGGCCUAAAAUUUGAAAUUCAUUUUGAAUUAAAAUUCUUAAAUUUCAUUUGAAUUUCACUUUAAUUAAUAGCCCUAUCAGUUUAUCCAGUAUUUAUCUUCUUUUAUAAAGAAGUUACGUGUUACAAAUCCUUAAAAGGACACUCCGGACCCCUAAUUCACUGAAAUGCGUUAGGUGUGAAGAAUGUGUCCUUUUUUUCAUUUUACAAAAUUGGGAAUCCUGUGAUUGGACAGCCACAGAAAGUUUGGGCUGGGGAAAAGAAAAGGAAGGACUGUAUUUAGAUAUACUCCCAAUUAAAAAAGCAUAAUUAAAUGCAUGUGUAUUUCCAUUCGAGUUAUAUCUACUAAACAGUGAUAUUUAUUAUUUUGUAUUCGGACAGUGGAGUGUCCCUUUAAUAGUAUUGGUCUCUAAUUGCAUCAAUUGCUCUUGGAAGACUUUGCCACAGACCUCUAAACACUGUUUUAGUAAAGCAGUAUUUCUCUGAGCUCUUUCAGUUCUGCAAAGUGAAACCCUAUAUAUUGUAAUCCCAUUUCAGUAAGCAGUAUAUUAUAUUAUUAUUUUAUAGUUACUAAAACGUAACGUAAAAUUGGGCCACUCCCUAAAAUGAGCAUGAGUUACUGAGAUAUAAAACAUAGUACUUAUUCCUUCCCUUUAAAGGGUAUUCCAUAAUUUCAGAAUAGCAAACUGAAGGUCAAUCCUGGGAGGACCAAUAUCGUUUGUAUUCAUUUACUAAGAGACAAAAAAUUUUUUAAACAAAUUCCAAAAUUGCAGUUCAGUCAAAACAUUUCUGGAGCUAGUGAAAAGCACUCUCUCUAAGGAUUUCCUUAGAGUCUAGUCACAAGGGGAGUGUACCUGAUGACUUAGGCCAGGCAUCUAAAACUCUGGCCCCCAGAUGUUGCAGAACUACCUCUCCCAUGAUUCUCUUACAAGCUAUUGCGUUCAAGAAUUCCGGGAGUUGUAAGCGCAUAUAAAUAUUACAAUAUGGAGCACUAGAGUUUGAAAUCCCAGCUUUAGAGAUUCAGGAAAGGAGAACCCUGUUUGUGUAACCCUGUAAUAUAGAAUCAUAAUUGCUAUCUUUCAAACAUGCUAAUCUCACUUUUCAGUGAGUUGUAACUUGCCACACUAGAGGGCAAAACUGCAGAAUCUUAAAAAUAAUCUUAUGUGGGGGCGGAGCUAACAGAGCAGCAGAGAGGACGCAUUUCUCGGAGCUCUGUCUCUGACUUUUAAAAGCAUAGAGAUAUAUGGUGGAAACCGGGCCCAAAAUAUCCUACAAACAACCCAGGCACGAGCAGAAAGAACAUGGGCAGAAAAUCUAAAAAAGCAAAAGCCAAAAAAAGCCCCCACGGGAGGGACAUUGGAGAAAUGCUCCGGACCACACAACAGGCCGCAAGGUCCAAAAUGGCGCCUACCGAUGACAUCUCCUCGUAUUCCUCGGAGGACUUCACCACAGACGUCCUGGAGGGAGCAUCCUACGGGCACCCAUCGGACAGCAGAAAUUACCAGCUCACGGUAAUGCUGGCGGAACUCCGCAAAGAUUUGACGGCAGACAUGGCCUACUAUAGGAAAGCCAUAGAAGGGGCCACAACGAAAAUCACACAGCUGGAGGCCUGCUCAUGCACCCACGACGCUAGGCUCCACAAGGUAGAACAGAAAAUUACAGACGUGGUCCACUGGCAAACCACAACCAACGACAGGCUGGAUGCCAUGGAGGACCAGAGAAGACACUAUAAUCUCAAAAUAAGGGGGAUACCUGAGUCGGUAGCUCUUGCAGACUUACCCCACUACAUCAGGCGCCUUCUUGAAGUCCUGCUCCCACCGAAACGAGUAAAAACCAUGAAACUAGAUGGCAUGUUCCGGUUGCCAAAAUCACCCCGAGCACCAACAGCGGCGACAGCAGACCUCAUACUGAGGUUUCAAACACUAGCCGACAAGACCUCGUUUCUGACUGGGGAAAAAAAACCCUACUGUUCGAGGGGGCAUCGUUAACAGUGUUCCCGGACCUGACCAGGAACACGAUAGCCUGGCGAAAAACACUGCAACCCCUUCUGCACCAUCUCCGGUCCAGAGAAAUCCCAUACAGAUGGGGCACUCCUCGAGCCAUACUGUUCACCCACAACAAGACUUUAUACAAGGCGCAAGAUAAACAGGAGCUCGAAACACACCUGCAAUCAACAGGCAUCUUGCCAGCGGCACCGGCAACCAGACAGGGCCUUUCCCAGCUGAACCUGGCUAACAUCCGAGAAUUCACCCCACGGAACUCCUCCAGAGCCUCUCCGGGCGGAUCGCCCACCUGAGGAGGAAGAAACCAGCCAAUACAAAGGGACUCUCCUCUCCAUCCCAUUCCACCAACUACGCAGACGGAACAUUCCACAAAGUCAAAGACUCACUCUAAUCAGACACACUAACCCUCUUUGGGCUCGCACACAAAAUAAUGCAGCAUCUUUUCUUAUUCCGAUCCUAUCAGUGUAGUUAGCAUUCUUGUAGUUAGCAUUACCUACUUGCUCCUCACUCGCAAGAUAGCCACUGUAGGAGACACGGCUGACUAAACCAGAAAGCACACACACACCAAACGCUGUAGACAUGCCCACAUUAGGAGGCAGACGCAUACCACAUAAAAGGUACCACAAAGCCACAUUACUGCACGAUACCCGGACACCGCGCCCCCCCCCCUUGCCAAUACACGGAGGAUCAUGCUGAAAGCAACCACACAGAAUAACUGCAAGGGGUGAAGCCCUCAAGGGCAGACACAUAGACCGCAGAGCUACACUCCCCUCACUCCCUUACAGGGCACAACUGAUACUACAACAAAGGUUUUUCUAUAGAGUAAAAUGUAUUAUAAAAUGUGCAAGACUACCAAAAGCCACGAUUGUUUAAAAUGUUUAUUAUAUCUGUGAACGAUAGCUGUUGUGGCUACGUUUGCAACGAUAUUAAUAUUGUGCACACAAAAAUAAAGAAUUAAAAAAAAAUAAUAAUAAUCUUAUGUGGGUUUCAUAAAUAUUGUUUUUAUUAUUUUAUUAUUUAUAUAGUGCCAGCAAAUUCUGUAGCGCUGUACAAUGGGUUAAUGGUUCUUAAUUCAUCACAGAUCACUACCACUCAUUCUUUAGUGGAUAAAUGCUCUUUCCGUUCUUGUGUUGCACAAUCCUGUGUUAUGUCAUGUACAAAUCAGUUUCUCAAUCCGUGGCAGGAAAAACGUCUAACGGUUAGUGUCUUGGUAUUUACAAAAUACAAUGGCAUUUUGUAGGAAACAUUUGCCAUUUAAUUUUGUUGGAGAAGCACUAACAUAUUGCACAGCAAUGUACAAUGCAAAGAGUGAAUGAAUUAUGCAGGUUAAACUGGCUGGAGCUGUAAAGCAGAUCCGAUGUACAGGGCUGGCUGAAUCAUCCAACAGCAUGUACACCACAUUUCCCUGUUACUUUAAAUGCAGGCUGAUUUACUAAAGUGAGAAUUGUUGGUAAUUCAACGUGAAUUUUAACUUUAAGGCUAGGAUAGCCAAACUGGAAGAUCUUUUCCAUUUCAGUAACUUUUUCCUUAAAAUUGAAAUUCACUUUAAAUUCCCAAUAAUUCUAACUUUAGUAAAUUAAGUCUGAUGGUCGCUUGAAUAGUCAUUAUGUUAGAUUUUCGUAUUACAUGUUCAUAACACAUACCACAAUGUUACUACCUUAUCGUAUUCCAGUCUGAUUUGAAUAAUAUGGCCACUGCAGACUGUGACUGCAACUCAUGUGCCCAGUCUGUGACGGAGGCUCAUGUAGAUUGACAUGACAGGACCAGACUACUUCAUUCAAUAACAGUUUAAUUUCCAUUGCUGUGAUCUAGUAGAUCCAGUCUCUUAGGUAUACCGUUUGAAGAAGUCUAUUGCACCUGGCUAAUGUCUAACUGCACAUUCUCUAUCUCCUCCACAGAACACCUAGGGUCAUCGAGGUCACCAACCAGCAACAUGUGGCUUCUCUGGACAUCUGUGCUUUGUUUAUUUGGGUGCUUUGUAUGUAGCAAUGGGAGAAUCUUGCCUGGAACAG
This 6514-nucleotide long non-coding RNA is filed under the name Pelobates cultripes (western spadefoot toad). Lineage: Eukaryota; Metazoa; Chordata; Amphibia; Anura; Pelobatidae. The record is from RNAcentral.